Molecule: ribosomal RNA, 475 nt
Filed under: Eucypris virens
Lineage: Eukaryota; Metazoa; Arthropoda; Ostracoda; Podocopida; Cyprididae
Description: partial 16S ribosomal RNA
Rfam family: Bacterial large subunit ribosomal RNA
Source: RNAcentral
UUUCUUUAGAUAUAUUUUAAAGGUGAUACCUGCUCAAUGAGUAUUAAAUUGCCGCAGUAUUAUGACUGUGCUAAGGUAGCAUAAUAAUUUGUCUUUUAAAUGGGGACUGGAAUGAAAGGUUUUAUGGGGGUAUGUUGAUGAUUUAAUGAAUCGUUGAAAUUAAGGUUUAAGUUAAAAUUCUUAAACUUGUUUGAGGGACGAGAAGACCCUGUGGAUCUUUAUUUUAUCCAUAAUAAAUUAUUAUAAAUGUUUUAUUAUCUUAAAAAUUUGAUUGGGACGAUUAUUAUUUUAACAUAAUUUUAAGGAUUUAUUUUGAUCCUAUAAAAGGAAUUAAGAUUAAGUUACCCCAGGGAUAACAGCGUUAUAUUAUUGGAUAGUUCAUAUUGAUAAUAAUGUUUGCGACCUCGAUGUUGAAUUAAAAUUUCUUUUUAAAGUAGAAGUUAAAUUAGUAAGUCUGUUCGACUUUUAAAAUUUU